This 3063-nucleotide ribosomal RNA is filed under the name Penicillium coprophilum. RNAcentral describes it as "Bacterial large subunit ribosomal RNA". It matches the Rfam family "Bacterial large subunit ribosomal RNA", at positions 1 to 2515 of the family's 2925-position model. The record is from Rfam by way of RNAcentral. Lineage: Eukaryota; Fungi; Ascomycota; Eurotiomycetes; Eurotiales; Aspergillaceae.
GACAAGUAUAUAAAGAAACUAUUAUGGAUGGUUAGCUAUAUAUUUCAAGAUAUUUAUAUCUAGAGAGACCGUAAACUAGAAAUCAUAGAGAAAUCUAAUUAUAAGACAAAGUGAAUUGAAAUAUCUUAGUAACUUUAGUAAAAGAAAUCAAACGAGAUUGUUAUUUGGUGUCUUCUGAAUAGCAAAAGCCUUAAUAAAUAAUUAUAAAAUUUACCAUUAAAUUUUAUAUAAGAUAAAGUAAUACUUUAUUACUAUAUCUAAUUAUUUAUAAAAUAUAUGUAAUAGUAUAUUUAAGUAUAACGGAAAAAAAUCUGUUGAAAAAUAGGGGAACCUUCCUCUAAGGCUAAAAAAAAUAUAUAAGCGAUAGUGUAACAGUACCGUGAGGGAAAUACCCUGAAAUAGUAGUUUUAUAAGCAGCUCAAGUUAAAUUUUAAAUAAAUAAUAAGAGCGUACCUUUUGCAUAAUGGGUCAGCAAGUUAAUUUUAGAUGCAAGUAACAUCUCUUUUAUAAGCAUUUACAUAUAGUACAUUAUACAUACUAAAUAUGUAUAUAUUUUUAUAUAGGUAUUUAGUACUCAAUGGAUAGAGACAAAAUACGAUAUGUAUAAUGAUAUUAUUUAAAAUAUUGGUAUGUAAAUUUAUUAAUAAAAUUAGGAGGUAGAUACGUAGAUAAACCAAUUAUGAAAAAAUGAAUUAGUAUCUAGAAUUAGACCCGAAGGCUAGUGAUCUUACCAUGGUCAGGGUUAUAAAAGCCCGAACGGGUUAUCGUUGUAAAGAUAUCCGAUGAACUGUGGUAAGUUAGUGAAAGACAAAACUGACUAGUAUAGCUGGUUUUCCGCGAAACCUAUGUAAGUAGGUAAUUUAAUUAACAUCUUAGCAGGUACAGAACUGUGAUCUCGGACAAUAUCUAAGAUAUUUGUCAACAUCGGGGGGUUGUAGUGACUUUACCGGAGAGUAUUUGCACUCGGAAGGGCAAAGAUGAAUGUUAAAUAAUCGGACAUAGUGCGAUAAGGUUGUAUGUCUAAAGGGAAACAGCCCAGAACAAGAGUUAAGGUUCCAAAAUUAUUGUUAAGUGAAAUUAAGGAUGUUUUUUUUUAAAACAAUCAGGAAAUAGGCUUAGAAGCGGCCAUUUUUUGAAGACCUCGUAACAGAGCACUGAUUAAUAAAUUAGGAAAAAACGCCGAAAAUUUAACGGAUCUAAAUAAUAUACCGAAACCUUGUACACAAAUAAAAAUUAAAGCGCUGUGACUUAGUUUUUACUAAGCGCUGUGACUUAGGAUUUUUGUGGGGUAGCGGAACAUUGGAUUAAACAAAAUAUUAAUAUUUUUCUUAAAAUAUUAAAGAUCUUGCAUAAAACUAUCAAAGUUAACACUUUGUUAUAUGCUAUCUGUUAAAUCCAAGAGAGAAUGCUGACAUGAGUAACGAAAAAGGCUUUUAGCCUCGCCUGAAGCUUAUGGUUUCAUCUAAAAUCGGUGUCUAAAAAAAUUAAUCAAAAGAUAAUUUUGAUGACGUUUUAUGUUUUUUUAUAUGAUAAUACCAAAACCUUUAACAAGUAAUAAAGGUUCUGGAAAAGUUUAUUUUAUUAUUUGAAGUGAAAAGUAAUAUAAUACUCAUACUUAUUGGUACAAAAUUGUAUAUUAUAAUAUAUAAUACAUACUUUAUUAUGGUAUUGUGAUUAUACAAUAUAUAGUAGAGUGAGUAUUAUAAUAUAUAUAAUUUCAAAUAAUAGUCUUAAAUCUAUUAUGAUAAUAUUAGAGAUAAUAAUUAUUAAUAAUUAAUAACCAUUAUAUUAUUAAUAGUUAAUUACCAUUAGAUUAUUAAUAAUUAAUAACCAUUAUAUUAUUAAUAUGUAUUUAUAUUAAAAUAUAUCUAUUAAACGUUAUUAUUAAUAAUAUUUAAAUUAAUAGAUUUAAGAUAACUUUAUACUGGUAAAAAAAGAAAAUUAAAAAAAAACAAUAAAUAACCGUACCUAGAAACUAACUCAAGUAAGCAAGUAGAGAAUACAAAGGCGUUUGAGAGAACAAUCAUUAAGGAACUCGGCAAAUUGACUCUGUACCUUCGGAAUAAGGAGGACCAUUAUUAUUAAAUUUAACAUAUAGUAAAGUAUGUAAUUAUAUAUGAAAAAUUAAAUUAAUAAUAAGAGGAAUCAUGAAAUAAUGUUGUGCGACUGUUUAAUAAAAACACAGCACUCUGCAAAGAUAAAAUAUCAAAGUAUUGAGUGUGAUGUCUGCCCAAUGUCGGCUGGGUAACGGAUCUACCUUGAUUAUUAACUGAGGUUUUGAAGGACACCCCGAUUAAUGGCGGCCUUACCUAUGAGGGUCCUAAGGUAGCGAAAUACCUUGGCCGUUAAAUGCGGUCCUGCAUGAAUGACUUAACGAUGCAACAGCUGUCUCGAUGAUUGUCUCAGUGAAAUUGGAAUAGCAGUGCAGAUACUGUUUACCUCUAGAUAGACGAGAAGACCCUAUGCAGCUUUACUGUUACUAAUUAUAGGAGUGAAAUUUUAGGAUGAUUUAUAGUGUAUAAGGUAGUUGUUUAGAUAAUAAUGAAACACCUUUAUUCGAAUCCUUAUAUAUACUCUUAAUGAUUAGAAGGCAGUUUAUGCGGGGCACAGAUCCCACAAAAAGUACCUGGGUAUAUCCAAAGUUCAUAUUGUAAACUUGUAUAUUUAUAUACAAAUAUUUUAAUUUGUUCUAAUUAUUAUUAUAAUUAUACAGUUAUUAUUCGAUUAAAUUCUACAAUUAUUUUUUAUUUUAAGUAAGAUUUUAACUAUGCGGUGAAUAGAUGUAUUUUAAACUUUACCGGGCUUUGUUCUAAUUUUAGUUCAAAGAUUUAAAAGUUUAUUUGUUAUAUUAAUAAAGUAUUUAUCUUUAUUAAUAUAAUGUUUAUUAAUACUUUAAAAGUUUAAUGGCUAAAUCUUGCUUUACUGUUUGACCUACAAGUCUAUCAGUCGCGUAAGCGGGGCAUAUGAUCACAAGAUGCAUUAAGGAAAGGUCUUGGAUUAUAGAAAAAGUUACGCUAGGGAUUUAUAACUGUGAGUCCUCCAAUAUUAUAAAAUAUUGGUAAU